Molecule: long non-coding RNA, 1086 nt
Filed under: Monodelphis domestica (gray short-tailed opossum)
Lineage: Eukaryota; Metazoa; Chordata; Mammalia; Didelphimorphia; Didelphidae
Description: lncRNA (ENSMODG00000049576.1)
Source: RNAcentral
GCUCAUUAUUAAAUGUUUUGAACUAGAAAAAUUGGAUAUCCAACUUUCUCUCCCUCUCUCUGAUCCUUUCUUCUUCCUUUCCUUUUUUCUUUCAUCUCUCCCUCUCUCCCUUCCUUCUUCCUCCCUUCCUGCUUUUCUUCCUUCCCUCCUUCCUUCCUUUCUCUUUAUUUCUUUUUAUUAAUGGAUUGGUUCAGAUUUGCAGUUAUAUCAUCUUGGUAUCCUUUGCUUUGCAGCCUCAACUUUAUGGAUCACCCAGCUGUGGUUCAAUGCUUUCUUGGCAGGUCAAACAUUCCUAUGUCUGAUAAGGUAUUGACUCAUUUUUAUUUUUCUUUCAAUAUUUAUUCAUAGAAAUCUGAAUUAGCUCAUCUGCAGGCCAUUUUCCUUUUAAUUUUUAAUGUUUUCUUUGUUGGUUUUUAUGCUUAUGCCAAAGGUCUUUAACUGAGCUUUCUCACUCCAAAGAUUUGCUAAUUUCAGUCUUUUUUUCAUAUAUUCCCUUUUUACUCAUUUCCUGAUUUCUUCCCUUUUAAUGGUGCUUUCCCUGAGGACUGGACCUCAAAGUCACCCCAACAUAUUUCACUAGCCUCAUACUCUGUCCCAAGUGACUUUUUUUUAGUAUAGCACUGUCCUUAUCUUGAUUCUAUACUCUUUCACAGAAUUAGUGGAAGUGCCCCAUAGCCACAGACAUGUGACCUGACCCCAUUCCCUCUGUUUCUUCAUUCUCUGAUUUUUCUCUGUUGCAUUCAGGACAGAAGAGAACAGCCUGACUUUUGCUUAUCCACAAAACUAGUUGAAGGAAGGGGUAGAGUUGAGUUCUAUUGCCACUCAUAGGUGAGUCUCUACAGCUCUCCCCACAUGAUGGUAAAUUGGGGCAAGAAUACCAAGUGAUUGUUAUUUUAUUGUACUUUCACCUCAUUAGGGUUUAUGUUGUCCUACACCUUUUUCUUUAUCAAAUAAUUUUUAUUUUCAGUAGGCUUGAGAGCUAGUGAGGAAAAGAAAAAAUGUUUACCCUUUACCUUAUAGUUAUAUGACUAAGAAUUUGUCUGGUGAUUUCUUUAACAUUUAAAAAUAAAAGUAAGAUAAAGGCCA